UACGAAGGGGGCUAGCGUUGCUCGGAAUCACUGGGCGUAAAGCGCACGUAGGCGGCUUCUUAAGUCAGGGGUGAAAUCCUGGAGCUCAACUCCAGAACUGCCUUUGAUACUGAGGAGCUCGAGUCCGGGAGAGGUGAGUGGAACUCCGAGUGUAGAGGUGAAAUUCGUAGAUAUUCGGAAGAACACCAGUGGCGAAGGCGACUCGCUGGACAAGUAUUGACGCUGAGGUACGAAAGCGUGGGGAGCAAACAGG
RNAcentral lists this ribosomal RNA (253 nucleotides) under uncultured bacterium. RNAcentral describes it as "partial 16S ribosomal RNA". It matches the Rfam family "Bacterial small subunit ribosomal RNA", at positions 524 to 776 of the family's 1533-position model. The record is from RNAcentral.